RNAcentral lists this ribosomal RNA (429 nucleotides) under Actinomycetes bacterium. RNAcentral's name for it is "Actinobacteria bacterium partial 16S ribosomal RNA". It matches the Rfam family "Bacterial small subunit ribosomal RNA", at positions 355 to 776 of the family's 1533-position model. The record is from RNAcentral. Lineage: Bacteria; Bacillati; Actinomycetota; Actinomycetes.
UAGGGAAUCUUCCGCAAUGGGCGAAAGCCUGACGGAGCAACGCCGCGUGAGUGAUGAAGGUCUUCGGAUCGUAAAACUCUGUUAUUAGGGAAGAACAAAUGUGUAAGUAACUAUGCACGUCUUGACGGUACCUAAUCAGAAAGCCACGGCUAACUACGUGCCAGCAGCUGCGGCAAUACGUAGGUGGCAAGCGUUAUCCGGAAUUAUUGGGGGUAAAGAGCGCGUAGGCGGUUUUUUAAGUCUGAUGUGAAAGCCCACGGCUCAACCGUGGAGAGUCAUGGGGAACUGGAGAACUUGAGUGCAGAAGAGGAAAGUGGAAUACCAUGUGUGGCGGUGAAAUGCGCAGAGAUAUGGAGGAGCACCAGUGGCGAAGGCGACUUUCUGGUCGGUAACUGACGCUGAUGUGCGAAAGCGUGGGGAUCAAACAGG